Mycena polygramma is the source of this 88-nucleotide non-coding RNA. The record is from the annotation of a GenBank genome assembly. Lineage: Eukaryota; Fungi; Basidiomycota; Agaricomycetes; Agaricales; Mycenaceae.
GCACCGGUCGUGUAUGGAACACGCACCCACGCAAUUUCAAUCUCGUUCGAUUCAAGGGUAAGACGGGGUUCGAUUCCCCGCCGGUGCA